UGCGCAGGCGGACUGGUAAGUCAGUGGUGAAAUCUCGUCGCUUAACGACGAAACUGCCUUUGAUACUAUCAGUCUUGAGUCCGGUAGAGAUCUGUGGAAUUCCGAGUGUAGCAGUGAAAUGUGUAGAUAUUCGGAAGAACACCAGUGGCGAAGGCAGCAGAUUGGGCCGGUACUGACGCUCAUGCACGAAAGCGUGGGGAUCAAACAGGAUUAGAUACCCUGGUAGUCCACGCCCUAAACGAUGUACACUUGAUGUCGGCCUGUAAGGGUCGGUGUCGGAGCUAACGCGUUAAGUGUACCACCUGGGGAGUACGCUCGCAAGGGUGAA
This 328-nucleotide ribosomal RNA is filed under the name uncultured Hyphomicrobiales bacterium. Its description in RNAcentral is "bacterial SSU rRNA". It matches the Rfam family "Bacterial small subunit ribosomal RNA", at positions 568 to 898 of the family's 1533-position model. Lineage: Bacteria; Pseudomonadati; Pseudomonadota; Alphaproteobacteria; Hyphomicrobiales. The record is from RNAcentral.